AUUCUUAAACACACCUUCACUUGAAGCUUCUCCUCGACUCAGCCAAGUCGAGGCGACGGGGCUUCCUUCACUCAAGGCGCCGUUGCGUUUCAUGAACACUACUUCACCUUUACUCCGCCAAGGAACGCCUUGAAAAUGCGCCCUCGACUCAAGUGAAGCGUAUCGACCGAGAAAAGCGUCUGAUAUCGAGACUAUUCUUCAAUGUGCUUAUUAAAAGUCCCAUUAUUUAAGACAAAUAUGUGUUACAGUUCAUUCGUCUUCCUAAUCAAACAACUACACGGCGCAAUGCACAACUUUAGCUCGGCAACGCUGCCACUGUGAGCGUUCGACUGAUAGAGCAAGCGGGAGCUGUGUUUGAGGUCUGGCAACAAUCGCAUCCCAACAGCUGAGAGCAUGGCGCAUGGCUGAGAACCAAGAUAACUUGCGCCGGCAUUUGUCCGCUGCUCUUUCUUUCCUAGUGUUUCAUUCGUGACUGACGUUGCGGUUGUUAAUCGCGGUUACGAUGGGUGAUUUCGUCCUUGUGCGUAUGGUGACCGAGCCUGAAUGACUUCUGAGGCCACAGAUGGAACGGCCGAUGGGCAGCUUUGUUUACCUUCAAGACCGAGUGGUGCUGUGAGUUUGCUGAAGGCAACAACAAGACAAGAAAUAUGGGAUGUGGGCUUUGGAAGGACCAGCUGAUGAAAAAAAUCAACGCCUGUGCUGCACAGUAAGGCUUCUGGCAGACCUGAAAGCAUCGAUAGAUAUGGUGCCUGCCUGUUGGAAUUGCACCAGCUCGCUUCCCUGAAAGAAGCUAGGUGCUCAAGAAGUACUUGACUAACCUACCCGCAUUGUCAUUGUGACAGUCUGCAUCCCCAUUUGGCCUAUUUUUGGAUCCCACAAGACACGCUGCUACCCUGGGUUUUGUACCUCGGUCAAUUGCUGAAGUUCUGCAAGCCCCAUUGAAGCCAACCUGUCAUCCGCAUCCAAUGGAAGAAACUCAUGC
Molecule: long non-coding RNA, 982 nt
Organism: Dermacentor andersoni
Lineage: Eukaryota; Metazoa; Arthropoda; Arachnida; Ixodida; Ixodidae
Source: RefSeq, a predicted model, not a curated record